This is a long non-coding RNA of Sitodiplosis mosellana (orange wheat blossom midge), 1298 nucleotides long. RefSeq lists it as uncharacterized. The transcript is spliced from 2 exons. The record is from RefSeq and is a predicted model, not a curated record. NCBI's taxonomy places the organism in Eukaryota, Metazoa, Arthropoda, Insecta, Diptera, Cecidomyiidae.
AAUUUCUUCAAUUUCAGUUGGUGCUAUGCUAUAGAGCGAAUGUGUAGAUAUCAAAUUUUUUACGCGAUCGAUCAAGUGUAGAUUUCCCUCAGUGUCGAAAUGUGCAAUGUCACCCGUUGGGAAAAAUCCUUCAUCAUCAAUUGCAUCAGCCGACAAUUCUUCAUUUCGAUAGUAGCCAAGAAAUUUGUAGGGGCCUUUGCAAUGAAUUUCACCAUUUUCACCGACGCCACAUCGAUUUCCCAUUGAAUCGACAAUUUUCAAAUGAAAACCGCCAACCAUUUGUCCCUCGGAGUGGCUACCAUUUGAAGCAACGGUUAAAUAACCGACCUCAGUCGUACCGUACACAACCAUGCAAAUUGUAUUUGGUAAAUACGAACGAAAUUCAUCAAGCAUUAAAAAUGAAACUUUAUAUGCGCCGAGCAAGAUACGUUUAAAAUUUGGAAGAUUGGUUUUUGGCAAAAGUCCACUUUUUAAAAAGCCAGCGAUAUGAUGCGGGGUGUACAUUGUACAUGUUAUUUUAUAGUCUUCGAGCAAACGCAAUUGUGUUUGAGGCGAAAAUGGUACGUUUGAUAUUACACGAAGCGAACCACAUAAUACACCCCAAAAAAGAAUAGCAUAUGCGGUUAUCCAUUGAUAUGUGAAAAGGGUAUACAAAACAUCAUCCGAUGUGAUGAUAUCCAACGUUUGAACGUCCCAUAGAAGGGCUGCAUACGGCAAACAAACACCUAUAACAUAGAAUAUUGGAAAUGCCAAGCACGUUUGAUGGACAACCCAAACCAAGCGAAGCUAAAAUAACUGAACUCAGAUGAUCCGUAUGGUCCGCCAUGAUUCCGAUGACUUGUUUUGGCUGGCAACCGCGCUUCUGAAGAUUCUCAGCCAUACUUAUCGUGUGCAUACGCAUUUCGGCAAAUGUUAUUUUCACACCGGUAUCAGCAUUUAUCUACAAUUUGCCAACAAUAAUGAAGAAAUUCAUUAGAAAUCAUUUCGAAAAGAAGGAGAAAGGAGAAAGUCAAAUAAGCGACUUAUAUGUUAGUUUUGUUGUAUUCAAACGCAACGCGUAGCACAUUUGUCCGUCGCUGCUUCUUGGAACCGUGUAGCUCAUACUCACUUUUGACUCCGCUCUUGGCAAGACCAUAACGCUAUUUAUUUGUGCAUUAUUUUAUUUUAAAGCGAUUUUUUUCUGUUUUGUAUUUUUCCGUUUUUAUUUGAAAUAUUUCUCCGCAACAUGUGAAUUUUUUCUGUUCAAUUUAGAUUAAAAAAUCGGACCGAUUUCGAAAAAACUAUGCCCAUUUUCGGAA